CGAGCGCUAGGCGGUUUUUUUCCGCGAAAUCGGCUAGGCGGCUGCAAUAGUUCGCCUAGCGCACCGCCUAGCACCGCCGCUCGGCUAGGCGGUGCGCUAGGCGCUAUUGUAGAUGCUCUAAGUUCUCAUGCUAUCUAUCGCGGCGCUAGGCGCUAUUGUAGAUGCUCUAAGUUCUCAUGCUAUCUAUGUGAUUGCCUAUCAUGACGUAAGGAUACCUAUGUGAUUGCCUAUCAUGAUGCAUUGCCUAUCAUGAUGCAAGGAUACCUAUGUGAUUGCCUAUCAUGAUGCAAGGAGUAAUGGGGUGUUGCCUAUCAUGAUGCAGGGAGUAAUAGGGUGUUGAGGGGAUUACUGCCACCCCUUGCUUCCUGCCACAGCCUCUCUCUUGAUACUCUUGGGUGGUUUAUAUAGCCACAAUUCUUGGCUGUUUGUGACUGAAACUUGGAGACAAAGUAGAAGAAUCUUGUUCUGUAGCUCUCUUAACCAAAGCAGAAGUAGCUUUUAUCUUAAGUUUAGCUACUACUAUUCCAUAGAGUAGAACUAGUUAGAGCAUCAUUAACCCCUGCCCGGAGGACUUCGAAUGCCGCUCCCUUCACAAUAGUCCACCGUGCUUGGAGGACUUCGAAUGCACGCUCCACAUCUUUCCGAGCCGCCUCUUGCCUUUGGGCAAAUAAUGCCCUCCGUUCCGUUGUCGGACAUGUGAUAGUCUUCACGAACACAGGCCAUCGAGGGUAGAUCCCGUCUGCCAGAUAGUACCCCAUACUAUACCGACGGUGGUUGGCCGUGAACUCUACGUUCGACGCUCGCCCGGCACACAAGUCAUUGAACAAUGGAGACUCGUUCAACACAUUGAGGUCAUUGUUGGACCCCGCGACACCAAAGUAGGCAUGUUAGAUCCACAAUCGUUGGUCGGCUAUGGCCUCCAACACAAUCGUGGGAUGUGUGCCCUUGUGCCCGCUAGUGUAUUGUCCUCUCCAUGCCGUUGGACAACUCUUCCACUGUCAGUGCAUACAGUCGAUGCUGCCAAGCAUCCCCGGGAAGCUAUGGGUCCGCUCGUGCAAGUUCACCAACUUCCUAACGUCGUCGGUCGUUGGCUUUCUCAAGUAUGUAUCCUUGAAUGCUUCAACGUCGGUCGUUGGCACUCCCGUCCAGUAUGCUCGCUUACAUGGAGAUACUCAUCGAACAUAUCUGAUGUAGUACCAUAAGCGAGUGACGUACGGCAGAGGUGAGUAUAAAGAUACUCAGUGAACACAUUACCGAAAUAUACAUAUAUACGUUGAAAAUAUUAUCAUGUCAUCACAGUAACCCUCGAGAUUUUUCUCUUAAAAGGCCCAAGCUUACUAAAUUCUUUGUGAGCCAAAGUUCGACUGAUCAGUCUUAGUUCUUUCUAUACUUUUGCCAUAUCUGAACACCAAGUGUCGUGGAGAUGGUGCUCUUCCACGGUCACCUACAUCUUUCUCCAGCAGAGGAGGUGGCCACCUCCCAACGGCCUCCACUAUAUCAUCUUUGUGUCGUGGAAGGUGGCCACAUUGCACGGUCACCUGUGUACACUAAUCCGAGUAGGAACACCACCCUCACUCGGACCCAAAUUCGAUUCUUACGUUCCAACCAAACAGAUAGGCUCCAUACACAUAAAACAAAUUAUUUAUGACAAGACUACAUCAUUUGCAUAAAUAACAAACAUAAGUUUUUUUUCAUCCAUAUUACUAGGUAAGAUAGAAAAGUUCACUUUUUCGCUUUUCCACGAUUCUCUUAAAUCAUUCUCUCAUUUCUCAUAAUUACUUUUCUCAACAGUCUCCCCUUUUAUAAAUAAAAUAACAAGCUAACUUUAGUUUCAAGAAAGAUAUUAACUUAAUGAUAUGCAUUCCAUUUUCUCAUUAUCUUUUCUUUUAUUCACUCAGGGGUUCAAUCUUGACUAGUUAAAUCAAAGGAAUUAUUUAUUCAAAGAAUUGAUUCUACAAGGAAUUAUUCUAGUCUCGUUGGUGUUCUCCCUUAAUCAUUUCGGAAUUUACGUUUUAUUUUCAUAACAUAAUCCAUAGAUUUGCUUUCUUACACAAAAACAAUAGUUUAAAUUUCAUAGAUAGCUUAUUAAUUGAGAAUUAAUUACUUAAUUAAAUCUGAUGAUUUAAUCCUAAAAGAAAUAAUUUAACUGAUCUCAAUGAUUUAAAUUAAAACUAGCCCAAAGGAAUUAUUUAGAUAUUAAAAUCAGCCCAAUUCAAUUGAUUUCAAAACAGGAAUCCCAUAUUAAUUAAGUCCGAGUUGGGCUCCCUUCUAUUUUCAUUUCUGCAGCACAAAAGUAAAUAAAUAACAAAUCCUCAAAUUGGCCCAACUAUAACUAACUAGAGUCUUCUUCCUCCUCGCAUCAAACUCUAGCCCCAUUUUAGAGAGAGAAGCUCCUCCUUCUCUCUAGAAGGAAGAAUCACCGCCGCUGCCUCUUUCCGCCGGCGCCCUCCCUCUCUCUCUCUCUCUCUCUCUCUCUCCCUUCUCGAUUUAGAUAGAUCGUGAAACUGUAUUUAUCCGGAGCAGCUCGGUGUCAUCGUCGCCCCCUUGCUGCCGGAGCACCGUCGGCGGAGCACACUACCGGAAACCUGGGCAGCAAUUUCUCUAUGAGAUAAGCUCUCUAACUUUACAAUUAUUAUGAUAAUAGGAUUUGUCUUGAUAAUAUUACCCAUUUAGGUGAAAUUGUGCAAAAUUGUGAGUGGAGGUGUUACAGAAACUGUGUUUUAGAUUAUUUGAGCCUUGGGUAGAAAUGCUUUAAUUUCUUUCUCGUGUGCAUAUUGGGUGUUGGUAGAAUCUCCUUUCUUUAAUGUGCUUGAUACUAAUUGCACUAUUUAAUGCAAGAAACUUUAAAUCAAAACUGACUUAAACUUGAUUGAAGGACUUUAUUUCCACUUAUCAGCAAUUCUUUCUUCCUCUUUCUCUUUGGAAACUGGUAGGAAGCAUGUGUAUAGUGGCUGAAAAGUUGAUAACACCAACCCUUUAUAUAUUCUCAUGGAAUUCUUGACAAAUGUACCUUUUUGACAAGUGCCCUUAUUUGGACACGCCUCAACAUCUUGGCAUAUACUUUAUAGUUUAUACUAUGUAUUAUAAGAAAUUAUAUUUUAUUUCAUUUUUUGUGUAGGAAAUGAAAAGAGUAUCGUGUUGCUACUCGGAGAUGCAUAGGACAAAAGGUUCAUCAAGACUUGCACGAUUCUGAACCAACUCCUUAAAAUUCAAAAUUUUAUUUAAUUGCAUGUACUUGGACAUUACAUAUCUAGUUUGGGAUUAUUAUUAUAUAACUAUUGUGCUUACACGAGUUUUUGACUA
Long non-coding RNA from Salvia splendens (bonfire salvia), 3303 nucleotides. RefSeq lists it as uncharacterized. The record is from RefSeq and is a predicted model, not a curated record. Lineage: Eukaryota; Viridiplantae; Streptophyta; Magnoliopsida; Lamiales; Lamiaceae. The transcript has 2 exons.